GACGAACGCUGGCGGCGUGCUUAACACAUGCAAGUCGAACGGUAAGGCCCUUCGGGGUACACGAGUGGCGAACGGGUGAGUAACACGUGGGUGAUCUGCCCUGCACUUCGGGAUAAGCCUGGGAAACUGGGUCUAAUACCGGAUGGGACCACCGCUUGAAGGGGGGGUGGGGGAAAGCUUUUGCGGUGUGGGAUGGGCCCGCGGCCUAUCAGCUUGUUGGUGGGGUGAUGGCCUACCAAGGCGACGACGGGUAGCCGGCCUGAGAGGGUGACCGGCCACACUGGGACUGAGAUACGGCCCAGACUCCUACGGGAGGCAGCAGUGGGGAAUAUUGCACAAUGGGCGCAAGCCUGAUGCAGCGACGCCGCGUGAGGGAUGACGGCCUUCGGGUUGUAAACCUCUUUCAGCACCGACGAAGCGCAAGUGACGGUAGGUGCAGAAGAAGGACCGGCCAACUACGUGCCAGCAGCCGCAGUAA
RNAcentral lists this ribosomal RNA (478 nucleotides) under uncultured bacterium. RNAcentral describes it as "partial 16S ribosomal RNA". It matches the Rfam family "Bacterial small subunit ribosomal RNA", at positions 28 to 523 of the family's 1533-position model. The record is from RNAcentral.